AGCCGGGUCCUGCACAACAAAGAAUCGUGAACUCCGUCAGGUCCGGGAGGAAGCAGCGGCAGCGAGCCCCUUUGUGUGUUGCAGGGUUGCCCGGCUUUU
This 99-nucleotide signal recognition particle RNA is filed under the name Candidatus Electrothrix aestuarii. RNAcentral describes it as "signal recognition particle sRNA small type". It matches the Rfam family "Bacterial small signal recognition particle RNA". Rfam says of the family: The signal recognition particle (SRP) is a universally conserved ribonucleoprotein involved in the co-translational targeting of proteins to membranes. The record is from RNAcentral. RNAcentral also lists the same sequence under 1 other name. Lineage: Bacteria; Pseudomonadati; Thermodesulfobacteriota; Desulfobulbia; Desulfobulbales; Desulfobulbaceae.